RNAcentral lists this ribosomal RNA (253 nucleotides) under uncultured bacterium. RNAcentral's name for it is "partial 16S ribosomal RNA". It matches the Rfam family "Bacterial small subunit ribosomal RNA", at positions 524 to 776 of the family's 1533-position model. The record is from RNAcentral.
UACAGAGGAUCCAAGCGUUAUCCGGAUUUAUUGGGUUUAAAGGGUGCGCAGGCGGCUUAUUAAGUCAGAGGUGAAAGCCCGGAGCUUAACUCCGGAACUGCCUUUGAUACUGAUGAGCUUGAAUAUAGUUGAGGUGGGCGGAAUGUGUCAUGUAGCGGUGAAAUGCUUAGAUAUGACACAGAACACCAAUUGCGAAGGCAGCUCGCUAAACUAUUAUUGACGCUGAGGCACUAAAGCGUGGGGAUCAAACAGG